Molecule: small RNA, 71 nt
Filed under: Flavobacterium psychrophilum
Lineage: Bacteria; Pseudomonadati; Bacteroidota; Flavobacteriia; Flavobacteriales; Flavobacteriaceae
Also listed under: 2 other names
Description: Flavo-1 RNA
Rfam family: Flavo-1 RNA
Source: RNAcentral
UUUUAGCCCUGAUCGAAAUGUAAAUCUCCCGCUUUUUUUAGCGGGAAUUGAAAUGUAGAGCAGGAAAUAUG